Molecule: non-coding RNA, 29 nt
Filed under: Rattus norvegicus (Norway rat)
Lineage: Eukaryota; Metazoa; Chordata; Mammalia; Rodentia; Muridae
Source: RNAcentral
UGCUUUUCUGAGGAUUGGUAGACACCGAU